Molecule: long non-coding RNA, 4761 nt
Organism: Dermochelys coriacea (leatherback sea turtle)
Lineage: Eukaryota; Metazoa; Chordata; Testudines; Dermochelyidae
Exons: 10
Source: RefSeq, a predicted model, not a curated record
AGCCCUGAGGAAGCAAACUGUAAGCAGGAGAAAAAAAAAAAAAAAGAGAAACGAAAACACAAUGGAGUUGCAAUAGGAGAUAGGUUGCAUGGAGAGGUUUCUACUGGUCAGGUUGGAUAGUCAGUGCAGUCAUCAUUUUAUGCGUUCUAUAACAAGCUACAACAAAUCAGGGAUUGAGCAAUCUCUAUCUCUCUGCCUUUGUCCUUGUCUCUCCUUCCAUUUGUUUGUAUCUUUUUUCACACAUCCCUCCCUCCAUAUUAUUUGUCCAAAUUAAUAACUACUGUCUCUUAUUUCUCUCAAGCGAUCUCUGGCUGUGUGUGACUUUGGUACUAGUGGCUCCUGAACUGGAAGAACCUAGAUAUAUUCCAGCUUUAAGUGUGACAUGAGCUUACAGACAAGAAUGAGUCAACCUGUGGAACUUUCACUUCCUCAACCAGUAUACCCCUCGCCUUGAGCCAAUGAUCUGUAAGUGCUUCCCACCAAUGCUUUGUACUGAUGUUGGGCAUCACCUACCUGCCAUGCCUCCAGCUGCUGCGAGAGGUUCAGUUUCUGUUGAAUAGCAUCCAGCAGCUGACUGUUCAGAGACAUCAUGUCAAUCUUGCACUUGGCUAGUUCCAUUUCCACUGCAUUCUUCCUGGGGGGGGGAGGAGAAGAGAGACAUGGACAAUCUCAGAGCACAAUUCAAUUUUAUCUAAAUUCCUGCAGGUCUUCAGAACCACCUCACCAGUGUUCACUGAUCUCCAUUCAGCACAUUCAACAAAAUCAGAAUAUGGAACUUGGCAUCAGAUCUGCCAAAGGACUCUGAAUAUUCAGUGGGUGACUAGCUCCAGCUUCUACUGGGACAAGGAGAUGGAUCCUGUAGAAGGGACCAGUUCAGUAAGCCACCAGCUCUUCUGCCUCCAUGCUCUGCUCAAUCUCAGAUAGCAGGGAUGUGCUGGUUGUGUUGAAACUUUGGAGACUUCUCUCCUCGCUAAGCUCUUCUACCUUUCCCUGGAGCUGCCGACAGGACAGCCGCACCUCCUGGAGCUCCAGCUGACUUUGAUGCAGCUUCCAAAGGAAAUCAAAGGAAAAAACAAAACUAGGACCAGCACUCGGUCCUGCAGUUCCUCCACGGUUCCCUGAAGCAGAUCGUUUUCCUCCAUCAUGGCACUAAGGCGACACUCCAGCUCCCGCUUCCUAUCGAUGCAGCAUGUAUCUACUACAACAAAAACAUAGUGAUAUGAAAGAUAUCCUUAAGAAGCAGAUGGAAUGUUCUCAGCAUCUUGAUCAAUUAUCAGAUUAACCCUAAACAGGGUCAAUGAAUUGCAGGUUUUGCAUAUGAUUCAUUAACCUUGUAAAGAUGCUUUGGAAUACUUCAACAUGAAACACUGUAUACAUAUAAGACAACCAUUCUCCUCAGAUGAAGGAUGUUAUAAAGGUCUUUUUCUGUACCCACACCCAAGUUAUGCAAGCACUCAGAACUCCAGGACCAACAGUGUUUCAGGAGAUAUGCAUAGAACUUGAUGUUGAAGAGCCUAGUCUAGCUGUAGGAUGAUGAAAUAUACAGACAAAUAACCUGAAGACAAGUUGUCUUGCUGAAAGACCUGAUGGAUGAAGUGUUCUGCUUUAGCAGAUAGCUAUAAUUGAAGUGAGGUUGUGGUGGACUCAAUUUUACAGUUCAAGGAAGGAGGAUUGUGAACUUUACAGCAGGCACACAAGUGGAGUAUAAACUGACACAAGAAGAUUUGAGAAAAACUACAGCAGAUGCAGAUCUGAUAGCAUGUGCUCCAGUCCCUGGUGAAGACAGCUUCCUGGCACAGCUGGCAAAAUCAGAUUGAGGAAUAUGAUUUAUAUUCCUCAAGCUCCACUUACUUGGACUCUUUGUCCUGAGGUGGGGACCUGAAGUGGCUCAGUCUGUUGCUCUUUAGGGCAUGCUGCAAGGUUCCUCAUUCUGUGGUGACUUUUGGGGAGUAGGAUGUUGCUGAAGGGGCAUGGGGUAUUUAUAGGGAGUAUGGGGCAUUUUUCUUAUUUAUUCCUUUGCUGCAAGGUUUAACCAUUUGCUGUUGUAGUAGAUAGAGGAGAAUACUGCUAUUAUCUUUGUUUAGUUAUGCUUUUAAAUAAUUGUCAAGGCUGCCUGGAGCUUAGGAUAGGCGCCUCGUGUGUCUGUUUCUACAAAUCUAACUAAAUUAAAAGAAAUAUUUUAAGAGGACAACAACUGAAAUGAGCGCUAAAUAAAACAGACAAAGUAAUUGUGUGGCUGUGUCAGCUCCUCUUAACUGGUAGCAGGGAGAUUUCAUGCUCACAUACAGUUAGAAUCCAAUUUAUUUUUGGAAAGUUUUUUUUGUAAUUCUGGCAAUUUGUAUUUCCUUUGUCUCCUUUUCCAUAGAAGUUCAUUUAUCGUUACUAUUUUUAUUUAAAUGGAGAAACAAGGCUAACCUCAUAGGGGAAAGCAUGCAGAUUAUUCCACACUUUAAGAGCACACUGAUCUAGUACACUAAUUCUUAAGAAACUACAAUAGGCUUUUCAACUGGGAUCUGACAUAGCAAUGCUGCGUUUAAAUUAAUAUUUUUCUUUUCCUCUCAUACUGUAUAUCUCCUGUUAGUGAAAGCAAGAUUAACGUGAUCAAUGUCAGAAGAGAAAACUUCAUUCUGCAUUCCAGGCUGGUAUGUGGCUGAUAUUUCUCUUGUACAUGCAUGAGUUUUUGGUAGGAAGAAUAGAUGUAUCAUAGCACUGCAUGCUCAAAUAUUGGGCUGAAUGCAUCAAAGAUGGUGCAGCUUACACUUUCUUCCAGCCCUUCAGCAUGCUGGUUACAACAAUAUAGGCCCUAAGCUACACUAACAAUUCUAAAAGCACCAGUGCGUAGUUGUUUGACACAGUUAGGUGCAUCCAUGUUCUAGCACAGUUGAUUUUUGGAGUGUGACCGGGACAACAGCCUUAUAGAACCAUGUUAGGAAAUAGAAUUACAGCUCCCUUACACUCAGACUCAGCCGCUUUUAUCCCUACUCACAUGUCCCACUUAUCAAUAUGCUGCUUACAUGUCAGCCCCCUUGUUCUGGCCCACUGACUGGACUGUUUUUCUGGCCUGGGGCAAACCUGGAGUCCUCUCCCUCACUAGCUCAGAAAUUUGCUCUUGGGGGAGAUUUAAAUGUGCAUAGGCUUCCCUUACCAUGGCCAUCCAGGCAUAUUUGUGUAAUAUGUGGCUAUGUAUAACCUUGCUACCUAAGGUUAGGCUUAUUUUUAACAAACCAUAUUACUCCAUAGAAAAGUGGAGUAAAUAAUAGGUCUCAGUGUAUAGACUCUCUGUUGUACUUCUUCAUGGGUUCAAUCUGUAUUUUCAAAUCUUUGUUUGGUUUCAGUUGCUUUAACUCUUUUCUAUGUUCCCUCAUACAUUUUGGUUUCUCCUCUCUGUUCCCUCCUUUUUUUUUUUUUUUGCCUUCCUCCCUGUUUAGUUCUUUUCUAUCCCUAUCCCCUCAGAUAAUCCUCUCUCUGAUCUCCUAGUUUGUCACAGGAACUUCAGGUGCCAUCAUUCCAUCUGUUUAAUUUGAAAGGAACAGCACCAACACCAUUUUUUUGGGCCCAGUACAAUCAAGCUGCAUUCAGUGCAGGACCUGAGGUGGAGGUAGAAAGGUAGCUUUAUGUCCCUUUUGCAUUUCCUGGGAAAGCCAGGCCUGGUUUGGCCCCUAGGGAAAGUUUCCGAGCUGUUUUAGCUUAUAUUGCCAUUAAUGGCAGAGGAUUGCUUUCGCAUAGCAUGUUCCAGUCACACCCCCUAUGUUAUGGGCAUGGUAGUGGCAGACAGACAAUUUAACACUCAAGGAUUCCCCCAGUCUGGGUAAGACCCUGACCAUGGUAGCUUUCCAGUCCUUUUGUGCCACCCGACCAGUGGAAAAUGUCUGCACCGGGAUCAUGUAUGGCCUAUUUUGUUUAUCUAGGUUUUUACAUGACACUCAUCAUCUUGGGAGCUGAGGAGCAAGAGAAGGGAAAGGAAUAUUAGCCAUACUGUCGUUCUUUAUAGGAAGAUAGAUACUGACUAGAUGGACCCUGGAUCUGAUUUGGUAUGGGAAUUCCUAUCUCCAACAUUGGCCAGUACCAUAUACUUGAAAGGAAGGUGCAGAAAUCCUGCAAUAGGCAAUUAUGGUAUUACUUGCUGUGAUGGGGUGCCUACUGCACACAGGUGGUGAAAGAGUUAAUAUGGGCUGGAGAGGCUAAUUAACUCACUUGGUUGCACCUGGAGGGUGGGCCAGACCUAAUUAAUGAUGAAACAGAGCUGCUGAGAAGGUGGGUGGUUACCAUAAAGAGAGGAAAUGUGGCAUAGAUAGGGGUAGUAGGGAGAAACUUUAUAGUCAGUCUCCUGGUAGGGAACAGGAAAGCUCUUGCAGAGUGAGGAGACAGGUGUGGUAGGUAGAAGUCCAGGGAGGUGGCAGCAAGGAGUCUGCUGGAGUGAACCUGGACUACCUGUGCUAGGGUCCCUGAGCUGGAAUCUAGUGUUACAUCCUUGGACUAAACGUGACCUGGCUGGAGAGCUGAGUCAUGAGAGGAAGCUGACCAAUGCAGGACCAGAGUGAGUGUUGGCUGAGGGUGCCAAACAGGAAAGAGUUGAUAUGCUCAGCUGUGAGGGGUAUAUAAGCAGUGAGUUCCUCCUUCUAUACUUGCUCACAGAGACAAUUUCUAAGCUGGAUCAGUUAGAGGCUGGUUUAUGCCCUUAGACGUGAGGGCUUACAUCCUUUCCUAAGUACUGAAGAGAAAAAAAAUAUUUCUUAUUGUAACUUUGGACAUUUGAAUCAU